This 499-nucleotide ribosomal RNA is filed under the name uncultured bacterium. RNAcentral describes it as "partial 16S ribosomal RNA". It matches the Rfam family "Bacterial small subunit ribosomal RNA", at positions 28 to 507 of the family's 1533-position model. The record is from RNAcentral.
GACGAACGCUGGCGGCGUGCCUAAUACAUGCAAGUCGAGCGAAGUUUUUCUGGUGCUUGCACUAGAAAAACUUAGCGGCGAACGGGUGAGUAACACGUAAAGAACCUGCCUCAUAGACUGGGACAACUAUUGGAAACGAUAGCUAAUACCGGAUAACAGUAUUUCUCGCAUGAGAGAUAUUUAAAAGUUGGUUAUGCUAACGCUAUGAGAUGGCUUUGCGGUGCAUUAGCUAGUUGGUGGGGUAAAGGCCCACCAAGGCGACGAUGCAUAGCCGACCUGAGAGGGUGAUCGGCCACACUGGGACUGAGACACGGCCCAGACUCCUACGGGAGGCAGCAGUAGGGAAUCUUCCGCAAUGGGCGAAAGCCUGACGGAGCAACGCCGCGUGAGUGAAGAAGGAUUUCGGUUCGUAAAGCUCUGUUGUUAGGGAAGAAUGGAUAUGUAGUAACUAUACAUGUAAGAGACGGUACCUAACCAGAAAGCCACGGCUAACUACGUG